ACGGGUGAGUAACACGUGAGCAACCUGCCCCUGACUCUGGGAUAAGCGCUGGAAACGGCGUCUAAUACUGGAUAUGUGACGUGACCGCAUGGUCUGCGUCUGGAAAGAAUUUCGGUUGGGGAUGGGCUCGCGGCCUAUCAGCUUGUUGGUGAGGUAAUGGCUCACCAAGGCGUCGACGGGUAGCCGGCCUGAGAGGGUGACCGGCCACACUGGGACUGAGACACGGCCCAGACUCCUACGGGAGGCAGCAGUGGGGAAUAUUGCACAAUGGGCGCAAGCCUGAUGCAGCAACGCCGCGUGAGGGAUGACGGCCUUCGGGUUGUAAACCUCUUUUAGCAGGGAAGAAGCGAAAGUGACGGUACCUGCAGAAAAAGCGCCGGCUAACUACGUGCCAGCAGCCGCGGUAAUACGUAGGGCGCAAGCGUUAUCCGGAAUUAUUGGGCGUAAAGAGCUCGUAGGCGGUUUGUCGCGUCUGCUGUGAAAUCCGGAGGCUCAACCUCCGGCCUGCAGUGGGUACGGGCAGACUAGAGUGCGGUAGGGGAGAUUGGAAUUCCUGGUGUAGCGGUGGAAUGCGCAGA
Molecule: ribosomal RNA, 578 nt
Filed under: Microbacterium sp. TDB-087
Lineage: Bacteria; Bacillati; Actinomycetota; Actinomycetes; Micrococcales; Microbacteriaceae
Description: bacterial SSU rRNA
Rfam family: Bacterial small subunit ribosomal RNA
Source: RNAcentral